This 119-nucleotide ribosomal RNA is filed under the name Helianthus annuus (common sunflower). The record is from RNAcentral. Lineage: Eukaryota; Viridiplantae; Streptophyta; Magnoliopsida; Asterales; Asteraceae.
GGUUGCGAUCAUACCAGCACUAAUGCGCCGGAUCCCAUCAGAACUCCGCAGUUAAGCGUGCUUGGGCGAGAGUAGUACUAGGGUGGGUGACCCCCUGGGAAGUCCUCGUGUUGCAACCC